AAAUGGUUUUCAAUUUCUCCAAAUGGCAAAUAUACACCAAAAUUGGGAGGGCCCAAACAAAAAUAUAAUUCAUUAAGAAGACAUCAUGAAGUUAUGAUUUCAUUAAAAUAUAUGUAGAUUGAGUUGAUGGCUGCAGACGAGUAUGGAUCUAGUCAUGAUACAAGAAAAACAUGAACCAGAAGCAAACUCGCCCACAAAAAUCAUCAAGUCAAGAUAUUUAAUAAGACAAAUAAUAAAAAUUAUUAAAUGGUUCAAUUGUGAAGUUUUAAA
Molecule: long non-coding RNA, 270 nt
Organism: Melitaea cinxia (Glanville fritillary)
Lineage: Eukaryota; Metazoa; Arthropoda; Insecta; Lepidoptera; Nymphalidae
Exons: 2
Source: RefSeq, a predicted model, not a curated record